Molecule: long non-coding RNA, 406 nt
Organism: Magnolia sinica
Lineage: Eukaryota; Viridiplantae; Streptophyta; Magnoliopsida; Magnoliales; Magnoliaceae
Exons: 2
Source: RefSeq, a predicted model, not a curated record
AAGCAACAUCUUCUUGCAACUAGAUGGAGUGUGUAAGUGCAAAGAGGCUUGUUGCAGGUGAUUCGGUCCUUUUUCAUCUGGAAUGAAAGAAUCAGUUAAUCCUGGGAAUCUGACAUGCUAACCAGCCACAAACAGUCAUGCCUUUGUCACUAUAUAUAUUAACUUCUUGAAUUGUCUUUCAUAAAAAGAAAAAAGAAAAAAGAAAGAAAUAGUUACUGACCAUAUGCACUGGUGGAUUUCAUGCAUGAGGGUUUGUAUGUGGAUUUCACAGGGUUUGUACUCUCAAGGCAAGGAGUGAUGAUGUACUCUCGUCCAUCUCUUUGAGUGUCCUUAAUAGUUGCAUCACAAUCAAAUUUUCACUGGUACAAUUUGGAAUGUACAAAAUAAUGGAAAGUAGAUUACUGAA